RNAcentral lists this ribosomal RNA (403 nucleotides) under uncultured bacterium. Its description in RNAcentral is "partial 16S ribosomal RNA". It matches the Rfam family "Bacterial small subunit ribosomal RNA", at positions 30 to 526 of the family's 1533-position model. The record is from RNAcentral.
AUUGAACGCUGGCGGCAGGCCUAACACAUGCAAGUCGAGCGAGCGGAGGACGGGUGUGUAAUGUAUGGGGACUGCCCGAUAGAGGGGGAUAACUACUGGAACCGGUGGCUAAUACCGCAUACUAUCGGAUACCCCAUAUGGGAUUAGCUAGUAGGUGGGUUAAAGGCUCACCUAGGCGACGGUUUCUAGCUGGUCUGAGAGGAUGAUCAGCCAAACUGUGACUGUGAGACGGCCCGGACCACUCCGGAGGAAGCAGUGGGGAAUAUUGCACAAGGUGGGCAAGCCGAAUGCAGCCAUGCCGCGUGGAGGAAAAGGGCUUUAGGGUUGUAAAGUACGUUCAGCGAGGAGGCGUUACCCGAAGAAGAAGCACCGGCUAACUCCGUGCCAGCAGCCGCGGUAAUAC